CACCGCCCGUCACACAAUGGGAGCUGGCCAUGCCCAAAGUCGUUACCUUAACCGCAAGGAGGGGGAUGCCGAAGGCAGGGCUAGUGACUAGAGUGAAGUCGUAAAAAGGUAUCCGUACUGGAAGGUGCGGCUG
This 133-nucleotide non-coding RNA is filed under the name Vitis vinifera (wine grape). RNAcentral describes it as "Bacterial small subunit ribosomal RNA". It matches the Rfam family "Bacterial small subunit ribosomal RNA", at positions 1388 to 1520 of the family's 1533-position model. Lineage: Eukaryota; Viridiplantae; Streptophyta; Magnoliopsida; Vitales; Vitaceae. The record is from Rfam by way of RNAcentral.